This 430-nucleotide ribosomal RNA is filed under the name Pseudomonadota bacterium. RNAcentral's name for it is "Proteobacteria bacterium partial 16S ribosomal RNA". It matches the Rfam family "Bacterial small subunit ribosomal RNA", at positions 355 to 776 of the family's 1533-position model. The record is from RNAcentral. Lineage: Bacteria; Pseudomonadati; Pseudomonadota.
UGGGGAAUAUUGGACAAUGGGGGGAACCCUGAUCCAGCCAUGCCGCGUGUGUGAAGAAGGCCUUAUGGUUGUAAAGCACUUUAAGCGAGGAGGAGGGUACUGGUAUUAAUACUACCAGGUACUGGACGUUACUCGCAGAAUAAGCACCGGCUAACUCUGUGCCAGCAGCCGCGGUAAUUCAGAGGGUGCGAGCGUUAAUCGGAUUUACUGGGCGUAAAGCGUGCGUAGGCGGCUAAUUGAGUCGGAUGUGAAAUCCCCGAGCUUAACUUGAGAAUUGCAUGCGAUACUAGUUAGCUAGAGUGUGGGGGAUGAUGGUAGAAUUCCAGGUGUAGCGGUGAAAUGCGUAGAGAUCUGGAGGAAUACCGAUGGCGAAGGCAGCCAUCUGGCCUAACACUGACGCUGAGGUACGAAAGCAUGGGGAGCAAACAGG